RNAcentral lists this ribosomal RNA (301 nucleotides) under uncultured bacterium. RNAcentral describes it as "partial 16S ribosomal RNA". It matches the Rfam family "Bacterial small subunit ribosomal RNA", at positions 509 to 809 of the family's 1533-position model. The record is from RNAcentral.
CAGUCGCCACGGGAACACGAAGGGUGCAAGCGUUACUCGGAAUUACUGGGCGUAAAGCGUGCGUAGGUGGUGGUUUAAGUCCGUUGUGAAAGCCCUGGGCUCAACCUGGGAGUUGCAGUGGAUACUGGGUCACUUGAGUGUGGUAGAGGAUGGUGGAAUUCCCGGUGUAGCGGUGAAAUGCGUAGAGGUCGGGAGGAACAUCAGUGGCGAAGGCGGCCAUCUGGGACAACACUGACGCUGAGGCACGAAAGCGUGGGGAGCAAACAGGAUUAGAUACCCGCGUAGUCCCUGUCUCCUUAUA